This is a long non-coding RNA of Cercocebus atys (sooty mangabey), 5476 nucleotides long. RefSeq lists it as uncharacterized. NCBI's taxonomy places the organism in Eukaryota, Metazoa, Chordata, Mammalia, Primates, Cercopithecidae. The record is from RefSeq and is a predicted model, not a curated record. The transcript has 6 exons.
UAAUAUUCAUAUUAAUAUAUAGCUAUUAAUUUUCUAAUUUAUUCAAUAUUUGUAUACCAAAUUUAUAGUGACUCUCUUGCAAAUGUCUUUUCUUUACCUACACAAUUAGUGAUAAGAUUCUCUCUUUAGGCUGAUAAAUAUCAUGUGUUGUAUUAAUGAACUUUCUUAUAAUGAAUGACUUAACAUCUAGGAAUAAAUACUACUUUGCUGUGAUUUAUACUCUGUAAUGUGCUGUUAGAUCCUGUAUACUUACUUUUUUUUAUGAUUUUGACAUUGAUAUUCAUGAGUGAAACUGAGCUUUAGUUUUUAAUGUAACUUUUGUCAGAUUUUGAAAUUGAUGUUAUAUGCACUCAGCUCAAUGUAGUUGAGAUUUUCUUUUCUUAUAAUGCUCUGUAACAGUGUAAGUAGUAAGGUGAUGAUCUGAUUGGUAAAGCUUUAUAAAAUUUUUCUGUGAACCUGAAACUGCUGGGUUUUGUUGUUUUUGUUUGUUUGUUCUUUUAAUGCAGGGGCUAUUUUACUAUUUUCUAUAUUGUUUUUCUAACUUAAUUGCCUUGUCUAGAUUUUCUGCCUCAAAUUGGGAUAAUUUUGUGCUUCCUAAUGAUAAACCUGUCGUGGGUAACUUCAUGCAUACUGGAGAAGUAUCAUCCACAUCAAGCCUAGUCAAAUUCAACUCUACGUAUCUGUUAAGAGGGCAGAGGGGGAUCAGAGAUAGAAAGCGAGAAGAGAGAAAAACAAAGGCAAAAGGAGGUAAUAAAUAAAAGUGUGCCCUCCUGGAUUUUAUGGCUUGAAUUAUGCUCACAUCUAUGACUGCAAAAAAUGGAGCUAGUUGUGAUGCAGCAAGGGAACAGUGCAUUUGCCCAGCAGGUGUCCACAGCAGCCGAUGUGAAAAAGUGUUCACCUGGCAUGUUUGGAGAUGAUUGCCAUCAACUUUGUGACUGUGAAGGAGAAACCUUCUGCCACCCAAAAACUGAAAAAUGCCUCUGCCCCCCUGGGAGAACUGAGUCAGAUGUGAUGCUGGUAAGUCUCCUGUAUUGGGCAUUCAGCGUGAGUGUUGCCUUUCUCUGACCUCAAGACAACUAGCCAACUUUCCCUGUGUCCUUCACAAUGCAACCACUAAAGCUCUACUGAAUACUCUGAUUCUGAGAAGGCACCUUAAAAAUGGGUCUCAGCUAUGAACCUUGUGAUGGAUUGAAGAAAAUACGUUACCUUAUCUCCUCUUCAUUGCCGAGUGCAGAAAGCUGGUCUAAGCCCUGGAUGUUACAGUUCUCCUGUCUAUGGCAUGUAUUUGUAUUUCAGAAUCAAAGUAAAAGAAAUCUACAUUUUUAAUAUUAUCAAAGAAACAUACCCAAACAGCUGAAUUAUCCCUCUAGUAUUUACACGUUUGAGUAGAAUAGGUUUUCUAAAUAUCUAAGUUGCCUAAAAUUCUAAAUAUCUUUAUGAAGUUCUUUUUGUUAGAAGAUAAUUGGUCAUGGGUAUUUGAAAGAAAAGUUUCUAGGACUCUUUGGUUGUUUCCUAAAAGUAUAGUGUUAUAAAAAUGUUUGCUUCCUACUCACAGUCAGUGAGAGGUAAGGGUAUCACACACAUUGGGGACCACCCAAAGAAUACCCUGGACUAGGGGACUUGGAUGUUUAGGAAGAUUGUUCAGAGAAUGUUUUUGACCGUUUCUGAGUGAGAUAGUAUAGAGAGUAAUGGGGAUGGAGGAAGGAACGGAUAGCAUGGGUUAUGUCUGUGUGAUUAGAUGAAUUGUCGGAAUCAGAACCCAUCUUAUCCUCUGUGAUUUGUCUCAAGCCCCCACGAGCCCCAAGUCAAGCGCCCAGCCCCACCGUUUAUUGUACAUAAUUAACACAUUGUGGUAAAUUUAACAAAUCACUAUUUUCUGUCACUUCUGAUUCUACCUAAAUCAGAGACUUUAUCACGAGCAAUUUGCCACUCUUUAGCAUUGUUCUCAAGGGCAACUUGCCCCAGUAAUUCUUUGCGUAGAAAGUCAGCACCUUCUGGCAAUACAGGAAGAAGGUGGGAGUCAGGUGGGUUAGAAAUAGAGAAGAAAAGAAAAACCAACACCUCUGACCUGUAGAAUGUGGGGCAAAUAUGUUGGCAAUGUAUAAUAGAAUCCAAGGUUGAAAGGGAUCUUUCAAAAAAACCUCAGUUUUAGUUCUCACGGAGUGCAGCAAUCAUUUUUAUAACCAUAUGUCUGAUAUCCACCCCCCACCCCACCUCUUCUUGAAUGCCAUCCAUAAUUCUUGAGUAUCAGUCUGUUCCUUUGUUGCUAGAAAUGUCUUUCUUAAGACAAGUGCUGUCUUCAUAGAACCUCUAGUCUUGACAAUCCUCUACUUGACAAUUCUUCUAAUAGAUGAAGGUAGCUUUCAUGUUUCAUUACUUUUUCUCCAAGUAAAAAAAUUAGUGCUUUAAUAGCUCCUGAUAUUGUUAACCAACCUCCUCUGCAGAUACACAGUAAGUCCUUUUUGUAAUUUCCAAAGCCAUGGGGCUGUGGUUUAAAAUACAUUAUCUAGAACCUAAUUUUUUAAAUUAUGUAAGUAAUACAUGUAUAUUAUGCUGAAUCAUUCAUAAUUCCACCCUGAAGUAACCACUGUUUACAUUUUCAUGUGCUUUUCUUUAUGUAUUUUAUAUCAUUUUAAAAAAUAGGUUAUAUAAAUAAUUUUGAGUCCUGCUUUGUUUCCAAUGUUAUGGUUCCAACAAUUUUCUAUGCCUUUAACGCUCUUUUAGAAGAUGUCAUCAGCAAUUCAUCCUAUAUCGAGUAUUCUCUUCUGAUAAUACCUUCUUCUUGACCUCUUCACCCUAAGUAUCUGCAAAGAUUCUUUUUAAAGUAGUUAGUCAACAUCAGGAAGAUGGCUACAAAGACUUGAAGAGCUGGCCUGGUAAUCAUUGAUAACAAAACACUUCAGGUACAACAGAAAGCCAAUGCUUUCUAUUUGAAAAGUUAGCUUAAACUGAGAACACUUUCUUCUUUGUUGACUAAGUCUUCCUUCUUGAAAAGACAUUUCUUAAGCAGAUAAAGAAAUUUACACCCUCAGUUCAUAAGGUAUUUAAUGUUUAUAUUCUCAUGAUGACAAACGGAGAGCCAUUAGCACAAGGAGACUCUCUCCUGAUGACAGAGGUGGAUCUCCAGUGAAAGGAAUCAAGUGAAGGUAAAGCAGCACAAGGCUUUGUAACCAUAGUUACUUUAAGUCUAAGAUUAUAAAGCUAUUGUUUCCAUUAUGAAAGAUGCAUUAACAUUCCUUUAUGUCUACUCUUGGAAACCUUGUUAUCGUGACUAGCCUAUUUACUUACGUAUCUCUUAAGAGGUGGUUAGACUUAACUAAUUCUUAAACAUUAACCUUGAAGAUAUGUUCUGGAGGGUGGGAGAAGGGUUUUACUCUUUGAAAAUGGGAUGGAGUAAAUUCAAUGAAAUGCUCAAAUUCUGAGCGUAGCAGAAACUUUACCUUAUGGACUUAAGAAUUUACUUCUACUUAAUCCAGAAAAUUCUGGAAAUGCCCUCUUAUAUCAAUAUGCAUACACCUGAAUGAAGUGAAGGGUGAAAUGGGGGUACUUUGGAAAGCAAUCCUAAAAAGAAAAUUGUUAUGUAUUUAGCAGUAAAUCAUUCUUCUAGUUGUAGCAGCUGUUUUCUUGUAAAUGGUGAAAAUAUUCAUGGUAAAAUAUGGGAAUCAUUCAUAUAUUCAUGACAACGAAGUUUCAUGGUAAAAUACGGGAAUCAUUCAUAUAUUCAUGACAAUGAAGUAGGAUGUUCUUUUAUGACUAGGCUAUUACCACAUUAAAAGAAACUGCUGCCUCAGAUUUUUUAUUUUCCCCUUUGUAGCAAAUAUUCUAACAACCACACAAUUUUAUCAUUUGCAUUGAGCACUGACUACAGUAAACAACUCUAUCAUUGUAAAAAGCACUCUCUCAUUGCUAUUUCCAUUUUCGAAGAAGGAAUAAUAGUGUGAGUUGUUCCUAAUUGUUUAUAAUAAAUUUUCAGCAUUAAGACGUUUUUAACUUAGUUUUCAAAAACAUUCUAAACAUCAGUCUUAGCCUUAUUAAAGACUUUUUCUGAAAUUUUGUAUUGCCUUGUGGAGCAAGAGGAACUUAACUCUCACUGAAAGCAGGCCUAUAUAAUUUAAUAUGAUAAUCUUCCCCAAAUAGACUCUAGAUGCUUACUCGGGUCCUGUGCAUCCAGGAAAUUUUACUUGGACACAAUUUUCUCAGAGAAGCCUUCUGUUUCUCUGCACCAAAGCAGCCAUGCUGCCAACACACUCCCUGAUCACAUUUUAAGUCCUCUUAGCACGCUAAUUGUAUUUGACUCAGCACAUUUUAAAUUCUUACUCAAUUCUUGUCUUUUUCACCAAGUUUAAAACUAUGUCAAAGUAAACUAUCUAUGCUUUCCUAGUAUUGUUUCCUCAGGACCAUGCAUAGUGCUUUGCACAUGGCUGUCCUUCCAUAAAUGUUUGCUGAAUGAAUAAAACUGAUGCAUUAAAUGUGCUGUGUUAUGUUCCCUGAAGCAUGAACUUUUCCAUAAUACCACUUUAUCAGUUUUGUCUGAGAAAAAAAGAUGAGAAGUGCAACUCCAUGCUUUGGAAGGCAAAAUCUAGAAUAUCUGACUUGACUCAUACCCAUAGUUAGUGACAUAGCCUACCCUCUUGGAUUAAGCUUGAGACUUUCUCCCUCUCACCCCAACCUCUAUUCCACCUCAGGAAGAGUAUAAACAUAAACCAAGGGCAGUAUUGGGUGAUGAGCAAGGAUAUGAAACCUUUUAUGUGACAAUAGAAGUUAAAACAUUUUGUGUUCCCAUAGUAAAUAUUGUGAUUGGGAAGAACUAUUUGUCUCCUUGAGAAGAGUAUAGAGACUUUUUCAACUUGACUGUUUCCUUGAGGAUAAGGAAAGAAAAUGCAUUAUUACAACUGAAAAUGAAUGAAUGAAGAUCCUGGGUAAAUGUAUUGUGGAAAUAAUAUUUCAUGGAAGAUACUCCCCCUUUAUUCUAAGCACUGCCAAAAGUGAUUUGAUGCUGAAUGUAACAUUCAGGGUAAAAUAAUAAGAUCAGAAGGGAGGGUAUUAUAGUUAUAUUAAUCUAGUCCGAUCCUUUGAAAUCUGUGUAAAAGUACUGACAAAGCAGUUAUUUCCAAAUACAUUUGGGAAUGUAUUUAUAAUAAAAGCAUACUAUCAAAUAAAUACACGUAAGACAAAUAAUAAAUUGCCUUUGUUGAAGUGAAUAAAGUUAGAUUAAAUUCACAAUUACUGUAAAACCAGCACAUUGUGAAUAACAAACAAACAAAAAACCAACCUGUAGUCUGGAGCUCCAUGUUCUAGUACAACUUUUUGUCUUAAAAUUAUCAUGGACAUUAUGAUAAAUUAUCAUAAUCUAUUUGAGGUUCAGCUUCACCACAGGUAAAAAUACACUUAAAUUAAAUGACCUUAAAUAUUCCUACCAACUUUACUAUUGUAUUAGUCCAUUUUCAUACUGCUGAUAAAGACAUAUCCGAGGCUG